GAAAUAGAUUUGACUUUUCCUCUUUUAGUGUGUAUUCCUGUGUCUAUCCUUGUUAUUCUGAUCUCGGCUGCAGAGACUUAAGUGAAAGCUGUAAACUAAUUGGAAAACCUUUUAAUUGGAGUUCAUUAGUGCAUGCUAUUUCAGCAGUUUACUGAUAGGUGUAAACUGGAAUAUAUUUUUUCAGUGGGAGUACCAAGAGCUAUGUAAUUAAGAAUAGCAUGCAGGUGAAUGACCUAGAUAUUUCAUACUAUUCAACUGGGAAUAAGCUUAAAUAUUUUUAAUGUUUCAGUGUAUUAGCAAACAGAGGAAAUAAAUUUGAAAACCUUUCAUUUGAAUCAGAAAACCAUCAAUGCUUGGAGAAUUCCUUCUACAUCAAGAUGUAAAUCCUUCUGCCGCCUUUGGAUGCUUCACUUAAAUGACUCUAAUCUAGUUCUGUCAGUCAAGUAGAUUGUCCACGAUCAUCUCUGGAAAAAGUCUGGAAAAAGAAUUCUCUGACAAAAAAAAGAGCUGUCCUAUGGUAAAAUGGUAUGUAACUGAUCACGUUUUAAUUUUAAUGAAUGAUAAUGUAAAAUGUUACAUUUAUGAAAGA
RNAcentral lists this long non-coding RNA (589 nucleotides) under Anser brachyrhynchus (Pink-footed goose). RNAcentral's name for it is "lncRNA (ENSABRG00000020270.1)". Lineage: Eukaryota; Metazoa; Chordata; Aves; Anseriformes; Anatidae. The record is from RNAcentral.